Molecule: non-coding RNA, 24 nt
Filed under: Arabidopsis thaliana (thale cress)
Lineage: Eukaryota; Viridiplantae; Streptophyta; Magnoliopsida; Brassicales; Brassicaceae
Source: RNAcentral
GAAGACUUGAUGAACCAUUCGCCG